CUCAAAUCUCAUCCGCGUCUCCUCCUCCGCAGCCGCCGCACUCCCAUGUCCUCCUCCGCCGCCAGCCGCAGCGGCCGCGAAGCCUCCGCCGUCAACCCGCCGCGGCGGCCUCCCCUCCUCGUCCGCCAUCCCGCUGCGGCGGCCAGGACCCUGCCUCCGUCAUCCAGGCGCGGCUACAACCUCUCACCGACGCCUCCUACCCUGGCGGCCGAGGUCCCUCCUCAGAUCGAGCAGCCAGCCGUGUCACCACCCGCGCCUGCUGCUGCUCCUUCUGCAAUCUAGCGGCAGGAAGGGAUCCAGGGCCUGCACGAUGCACAAGGACUACACGGCGCCCGCGCCGCCCGCCUCCGCGAGGUGCGAGCGGAAGGGCCUACCGGCCGCGGCGCACGGCUCCACUUUGGCAAGGCGUGGGCGGAAGGGCAGGCAGCAGCAACAGCGAGCCCUCCACCACGAUAACACCUGUUCGUCUCCUUCAGUUCCUAUCCUCCUCCCUUAUGUGCCCCAACUGUUUGCUAAAAUGCCUGCUAGGAUAGAAAGGAUAUUAUUUUGCAGAUUCGUGUACCAACUAUACAUUAUUUUUUAAGAUUCAUUGAAGAAAAAUAAACUUGUGAUCUGCAUUGAAAGAAUGAUUUAUCAUAUGGAUUUAUAUUCUUUCAGGUUCUUUUUUUCAGGUUCUCUAUGCAAUUCCCUUGAUAUGUUAAAGUGGUCAUGGGCAAGAGCUUGAGUUUCCAUGGUAAACUGAUGGUGGCUUCAGUUCCUUGAUCAUGGAGAAAUAGUAUGAACUCCGAGAAAUGUUGGUUAUCAGAAAGAUGACACCACCACCGUACGUGCACAGGACGCACAAGUUCCCCUUCUGCUGUCCUUUGCUACCUGUGAUGUGUGAAGAGGGAGAGAAGCACAAAGAUCAAGAACAAGUGCAUCGAAUUUGUUUGAGUGCCUCUACAGGAAAAAGAGAAAUGAUGCACGAUAUGUACAUAUUGCCAUUGCAUAUUAGCUUUCAAAUAUAGCUUAUAGCAAUUUUGGAUGAAAUUUUUUUAUGUGAUUUAAUGUUGUAUGUGAUUAAAUGCUCGAUCAAAAUUUAUUUAUGUGAUGAGAUGUUAAUUUCUUGUUGAUA
Panicum virgatum (switchgrass) is the source of this 1114-nucleotide long non-coding RNA. RefSeq lists it as uncharacterized. The record is from RefSeq and is a predicted model, not a curated record. The transcript is spliced from 3 exons. Lineage: Eukaryota; Viridiplantae; Streptophyta; Magnoliopsida; Poales; Poaceae.